CCACAACCCACCUUCUGCGAGUUCUUGAACUCGGGGGUGCAGAAAUUCCGGUAAUAUUGCAGCGACGCGGCGUUCCCGAAGGCGGUCAGCCCCCAGACCCCGCAGGGCCCUGCCCGGCCCCUCCUGAGCCCCCAGGACGUACCCACGACGCCGACCACCACGUAGCCCACGAUGGCCACCACCAGCAGGACGCAGCAGACGAUGUCAGUGCAGCCCCUGCCGGCGGGGACAGCGAGCACGCAGCAGCGAGGGAACCAAACGCCGCCCAAAAAAAGCGUAAUCAGGAGGAAAAACAUCUGCGGAUCUGCUUCCCAGGCUGGGAAACAACGAUUCCCUUGGAAAACUCAUUUCCACAGGUGGCUCUGCCCAAAAAUCUCCCCAGGCUGCGGCGAGAGGGACCCGAAAUCCCAUGGGAACACCAGAGACACCAAAUUCCACGGAAGCACCGAAGAGCUGCGGGGGCAGAGCGGGGCUGAGGGCGGCGAUACCGGGCCGGGGGAGGGGGGAUCACCGGGGGUCCCGCCGAGCCCCGGCCCCGCCGCAGCCUCCCCGGCGCCGCGCCGCUGCUCCGCUUUAUUUUUAGGGUGGGAACGGAGCCAGCGUGGG
Molecule: long non-coding RNA, 606 nt
Organism: Vidua macroura (Pin-tailed whydah)
Lineage: Eukaryota; Metazoa; Chordata; Aves; Passeriformes; Viduidae
Exons: 3
Source: RefSeq, a predicted model, not a curated record